GGGGGUGUAGCUCAGGGGGGUACAGCAUUCAACUGCAGAUCGAGAGGUCCCCGGUUCAAACCCGGAUGCUCACUUCUUCA
This is a non-coding RNA of Trichonephila inaurata madagascariensis, 80 nucleotides long. NCBI's taxonomy places the organism in Eukaryota, Metazoa, Arthropoda, Arachnida, Araneae, Nephilidae. The record is from the annotation of a GenBank genome assembly.